Molecule: transfer RNA, 74 nt
Filed under: Prototheca blaschkeae
Lineage: Eukaryota; Viridiplantae; Chlorophyta; Trebouxiophyceae; Chlorellales; Chlorellaceae
Description: transfer RNA-Ala
Rfam family: tRNA
About the family: Transfer RNA (tRNA) molecules are approximately 80 nucleotides in length. Their secondary structure includes four short double-helical elements and three loops (D, anti-codon, and T loops). Further hydrogen bonds mediate the characteristic L-shaped molecular structure. tRNAs have two regions of fundamental functional importance: the anti-codon, which is responsible for specific mRNA codon recognition, and the 3' end, to which the tRNAs corresponding amino acid is attached (by aminoacyl-tRNA synthetases). tRNAs cope with the degeneracy of the genetic code in two manners: having more than one tRNA (with a specific anti-codon) for a particular amino acid; and 'wobble' base-pairing, i.e. permitting non-standard base-pairing at the 3rd anti-codon position.
Source: RNAcentral
GGGAAUAUAGCUCAAUUGGGUAGAGCGUUGCUCUUGCACAGCAAAGGUUAGCGGUUCAAACCCGCUUAUUUCCA